RNAcentral lists this non-coding RNA (30 nucleotides) under Mus musculus (house mouse). Lineage: Eukaryota; Metazoa; Chordata; Mammalia; Rodentia; Muridae. The record is from RNAcentral.
UAGGAUUUCACAGCUGUUUCUCUUGAACCA